CUGGACGACGCCGCUGCAGCCUCACAGAUCAUCCCCCGCGACUAUCUCCCUUCUGUCAUACCUGUGUGAAGGGAAGACAGAUUCGUAGAGUGUGAUUCGUGACUGUCGUCUUCACUGGAAUAACAAGAUUUCACUGUGGAUGAUGAAGACGAUGGGGCUUCUGUUGGGCACCUGAAGGCCUCCCAGCCACGGAGAAGUGCCUGCCUGCCAGCUGAGAGGUGAGGGGAGCGCCAGGACCUGCUGGCUAGACUGCGCCACGGGGACGCUCUGCCCAGCGGCGCAGAUCAAUCCAAGUCGCGCUGCCGCCGUGCUGCUCACCUGGCGGCUCGCUCUCCCGCCGCUACGCGCAUCACACAUGUUUUAUAUGUACUUCUUAUAGGUACUGCUGCAGCCUGCCAUGGGAUUAGUGUACUACAUGUCACUGAUAGAAAAAGGUACAACCACAGAACCCACCCGCAUGCGUCCCAAAGUGGAUCGAGUAUGCAGGACGCCUGUGUAGGUGAUUAGGAUUCCAUCAGCUGAGUUGCUCAUGCAUCACACAUAAAUACAUUGGUACAUAGACUA
This is a long non-coding RNA of Eriocheir sinensis (Chinese mitten crab), 564 nucleotides long. RefSeq lists it as uncharacterized. The transcript has 2 exons. The record is from RefSeq and is a predicted model, not a curated record. NCBI's taxonomy places the organism in Eukaryota, Metazoa, Arthropoda, Malacostraca, Decapoda, Varunidae.